Molecule: ribosomal RNA, 254 nt
Filed under: uncultured bacterium
Lineage: Bacteria
Description: partial 16S ribosomal RNA
Rfam family: Bacterial small subunit ribosomal RNA
Source: RNAcentral
UACGUAGGGUGCAAGCGUUAAUCGGAAUUACUGGGCGUAAAGCGUGCGCAGGCGGUUAUGUAAGACAGGUGUGAAAUCCCCGGGCUUAACCUGGGAACUGCAUUUGUGACUGCAUAGCUAGAGUACGGUAGAGGGGGAUGGAAUUCCGGCGUGUAGCAGUGAAAUGCGUAGAUAUGCGGAGGAACACCGAUGGCGAAGGCAAUCCCCUGGACCUGUACUGACGCUCAUGCACGAAAGCGUGGGGAGCAAACAGG